UCCACGCUGUAAACGAUGUGCACUAGGUGUAGGUGAUGUGAUAGUCAUCUGUGCCGCAGCAAACGCGAUAAGUGCACCGCCUGGGGAGUAUGCCCGCAAGGGUGAAACUCAAAGGAAUUGACGGGGGCCCGCACAAGCGGUGGAGCAUGUGGUUUAAUUCGAUGAUACGCGAGGAACCUUACCAGGGCUUGACAUCUACAUGGGAGUCCAGGGACUGGGCUGG
This 223-nucleotide ribosomal RNA is filed under the name uncultured bacterium. RNAcentral's name for it is "partial 16S ribosomal RNA". It matches the Rfam family "Bacterial small subunit ribosomal RNA", at positions 794 to 1015 of the family's 1533-position model. The record is from RNAcentral.